Molecule: non-coding RNA, 14413 nt
Organism: Cricetulus griseus (Chinese hamster)
Lineage: Eukaryota; Metazoa; Chordata; Mammalia; Rodentia; Cricetidae
Source: RefSeq, a predicted model, not a curated record
CUGCUCAGAAUACUAGUGUUUUCAUUUAUGUAAAGGCAGUAAUGUGAUAAUUUGAAAUAUCCAAAGCUAGAGUCACUAGUCUUUUACGUUUAUCCCCACUUAGGCUAUUCCAGUAAAAGCAAAGCAUGCAUUCUCUCCAUUCUCUCACCACUUACUUCCAUUUUCUUUCUUAAUUCUCUCCUAUUAUUUGCUUUUUAUGGUAUAACUUUUUCUUCUAUUUUGAAAUAAUUAGUAAGCAAUUUUUUUUAUAACAGUCACCAUGUCCAAACACACCCAAACUCACUUUCACCCAGGAAUGAUAAACCAUUGAAAACAGACAAAAAAUGUUCAGUAAAGAAAAGGAAAGAUCGUCAUUUAUUUUAUUGUAUUUAAACUAGCAUAAGAGUUACUGACUACUUCAGAAGUUUGAGACUAAAUAAUAAAUAAUUAAAAUUAAUUAGAAAAUGAUAGAUGUUAUAUAAUGUAAUUCCCAGGAGAAACCUGGUGAUAUUUCUGUCUAGGAAUGGGAUUAAGGUAAUAUUACUAGUUAGACUUUCCUUCAUUUUGCAUAGUUAAAAUAAAAAUGUGGUAGCUGUGAGUUCUUAUGACUGUGUGGUGCAAUAUUAUCUCAUAUGUAUUAGAACUUACAUUUAAAUCUUUGUUAAUUGCAGUCCUUAGGAGAUUAUAGACAUGUAACUCAUAUUGUUAGGAAGGCUUGGUUUUCAUGUUUCGCAGCUCUGUUUCUGAUCUUCAGAGUGAUGCAGAAUAUGACCUCUCAGCCACUAGUGGUUUUAGAAGAGUUCUUCCCAGCAAGUGUGUGUGUGUGGACAGAAAUUUUGCUGACAGCACAAUGAUCUGCAAUCAUUAGGUUUGUCUUUAGUUUUAGAGUAUAAUGAUGUAAAAUUAGGAUUAUACUUUAAAAAUAUCCCCAACAUUGAAGUUAUACUUCGAUCAUCUUUAACUUUCUGCAAUGGCCAUGAGUUACUAUCUAACCCACCCAAUUUUUUAAAGCCUUUUAUGUUUUCCUGAUACUGGAUAUUUAUUAAUUCUAGGGAGUACCAUUAUUUUACAACUCACUAAAGAAACUAUUGCCAACUGGAAUAUGACACAAUUCCUUUUUUUAUCACAUAGAAGUUUUAUUUCCUCUUUACUAAAAAAGAACUUUUGGGUGAAUCAAGGUCUAUUUUAUGAUGUAUAAUGGACAGGUACACGAUGAAGUAAAUUAACUAUGAGAUGACUUGAUUGACCUAUCAAAAUGUUUCUUUUUAUUGAUAACUCAAUUUUUCUAAAUUCUGUUUCUCUGUAGAAUCAUUAGAAAACACAGGCUUGUAAAAACAACCAAACAUGACAAAAUAGUAUAAUAAGAUGAAGCAAAAACUGUAAUAUCAAAGUUGGAUGUGGCAAUCCAAGAAAAAUGUUUGGAGAGCAGGCAAAAAAGUCAGGGACCCACUCUUUCUCAGUGUCAGGCAUCCUAUAAAAACAUUAAGCUAAUAGCUGUAGUAUAUACACAGAGGACCCAUGUAGGCCCUGUGUUUCCUGCUUCAGUCUCUGUGAGCUCAUAUGCACCCUGCUUAGCUGAUUCAUAGAGCUUUGUUCUCCUGGUGUCCUCCAUCCCCUUGGAUUCUCAGUCUCUGCACCAGACCUUCUGUGGGAGUCCCUGAUCUCUGAGAAGAGGAAUCUCAUAGAUACCUCCAAUUUAGACUCUUCUCCACACAUGUCUGGCUGUGAGCCGUGCAUCUAUGUCCAUCUACUGCUGGCAGUUUCCCUGAUGGUGAAUGGAUAAGGCACUAACCUAUGUGUGUUGCAGAAUAUCAUUAGGAAUCAUUUUGUUGACAUUUUUAGACUAAUAGUUUUGGGUUUUUAAGCUGGGUCUCUGGUCUAUCUAGUCUCUGGUUCUUGAGCCCCAAACAGUGCCAAAUACAGGUUACUUCUGAAGGAGUCAAAGCAGAUAUUGGUUAGUUAUGUGCCACCAUUGCCUUAAGGAUAUUUUUCAGACAGGACAGAUUGUAAAAGAUUUUGUGGCUGGGCAUCCACAUUUCUCUUUUAGUAGCCCUCAGAGUUACUUGAGACUUUAGUAGAUUGACUCUUAACCAUUAUAUCAAAGCAUACCUAGAACUUUCAACUCCCAGUUAUGUCAUCAGGGGAAGGGUAUCUCUUUUUCUUAAGAAAAUCUCUUUAAUCAAGUACAAUACUCUUUUUUAUUUCAAACCAUUUUUAAAGGGUUAAGUUAUAAUACAACUAAUUACAGUAACAUGCUAUGCUUAUCACUGAGGGAAACAACCAGGUACAUUGAAAAAAAAUAAAACAGAAAUCCAUUAAAAGUAUCCUACCCAUUGGAAAAUUUCACUCAUUUUCAACUUUAUUUUGGUAAAUUUAAGCAUAUGCAUAUGUAGAGAAAAUAGACAAUUGCCCCUAAGUAUCAAUGACACACAUUCAACACUUAUCUCAUUGUCCAACUUUUCAAGUCUUUUUCUCUUCUUUCCUCCAAUUCUGGAGUGAUUUCUUUAGGGCAAGUGAUUCUGCAUAUCCAUACCCUCCCAAGUACUUGCUUAUCACAGGGAAGUGAUGGACUGCAGAGCUGCUACCUCUCCUGUCUGCCCCUUUGUAUUAUUUUCCUAAACGUACAACAGCACAUGUUAGUCAGGUAGAAGUGCAUUUUAACACAGUCUUUUCAUAGCUAUGCCCAAAGUGCUACAACUUAUUAAUUUCAAAUGCCUAGCUCAUAUUUAAUUUAUAUUCCCUUGAUUGUCUCACAGAUACUUUGUGAGAGUCCCUUUCUACUUUCUCUUCCCACCCUCCAUUCCUUCCUUUACCAUUUUUCCUUCCUUCUUUUCUUAUGAAUCAGAUGAAAACAAAGUUGGUCAUUGAAUUUGAAGGGCCGAGCAGACUGAUGAGCGGUUCAGACAUCUUGCUGCUUUUACAAAGAUGAGUUUGGGUUCCAGCAACCAGACGGUGGCUUACAUUUCAAACUCCAAUUCCAGGGGCAUUUGAUGCCCUUCACUGCCACUGCAUGUGCAUGGUGCACAGACCUGAGAACAGACAAAACACUCAUAUGCAAAAAAUAAAUCUCAAUAAAUAAAAAUGUUACAAAUGCAUCUGGAUAGUAUGCCUCUGUAGUCUCUUUUUCCAUAUACCGUUCUUAGAAUAUUAUGUUUAGCUCUAUUUUAGAGAAAAAGCAGUGUAUUGGAGGGGGGGGGGCUUGUGUUACAUGUGUCAUCUAUGACUGAUGUCAUAAAUAGUUGUUGAGCAGAUUAGACUGAGUGCGAUGUAAACAGACAGCAUGUGUUUCUUUAUCAUUGUUAUCCCUUGAAACAAGCUCUGUGAGACUACCCUUCACACCCCCAAGCUGUACUUUUUCUGUAUACAAAGUAUUAAUUCAUUGACUCUUCAAAAUUCUUGCUAUUGAGUGGUCUGGUUGAAUCUAACAUAUUAUUUUAUUUUAUCACUCAACUUUUAGGGAUUUCUACCUUCCCACUCCCCUCUCACACACGGUUGGCCCAUUUCAUUCCCACAUUGGAAAAUGUCUUGGCUAUUUAUUUGUUUGCUUGUUUUGUGUGUGUUUUCUUUUACCACAUUUUCUCUUACUGUUUUUUUGUUCAGUCUGGGUAUUUAAUAUCAAACCCAAGGGUGAGGUGUAUAUUAGAAUAUAGAGCAGCUUCAUGUGCUCCUGCCACUUGAUUUUCCUGUAAGUGUGCUCUGUUUCAGAGGCAGGACUCUGUCCUGUCUCUCUAAUGAGAAACAUUGGCUGCUCAGAGAUUUUGCAUGACUGAUGACUUCUCCCUAUUGGUCUCUCACUGGCAGCUCCCAGUUUCCCCUCAACCCCUAUUUCCUUGGGAAUAUUUCUUUUUCAUUGUUAUCUUCUUUAUCUUAAAGAAAACUCUCCUGGGAAAAGCAAGUGAUGUCUCUCCUGAAACCUGCAGUGCCAGUAGGAAGAAGCCUACAUUAGUGCUAGAUCCCCCAUGAAGAGUGUAGGCUUCCCUCAUUGUCACUUGCUCCUUGUAGCUUGCUUGUUCUCCUAGUUGUGGCUAACUCUCAAUGGUUUGCACCAACUACCUCACGUAGACAGUUUCUGGAAGUCUAGCCUCUCUCAGCCCUGGAAGACAAUAAUUUGUCAAAGCUGGAAGAUGACAUUUUGCCACAGUGAGGACGGAAGAUUCUCAGAGCAGUACAAUAACUACAAGCUGAUACCUGCGGGAAAAUUCUCUUAAGAGUUACGGUCUUUUUGCAUAUGGUCUAAACACAAGUAACCUUUAAACCUAGACUAGUAUUCUUUAAACCUAGUCAUCUUCUGUUCUCUGGAGCAAGGCAAAUAAAAAUGAAAACACAACAUCCUUGGGAUCUUGGCAUGUCAUUUAGCUUACCAACUCUGUUUCCUCAAUCAAAAGCCUGCUCUAAAUGACUAGCCAGCAUUCUGACAAGCUGUAUUUGAUCAUUCAUGGUAAUUAGAGCCAGUCUAUAUGUCUAACCUAAAUAAUUAAAAUUCAUGCCUUGGUAGAGGUGAGACACAAAUCAUCUGGUGGCCCAUUUAAGAUAAGUUGAAGUAUCAUAGUCCUUGCCUUUAAUGAAUAAAGUUUGGUAGUAGAAACAUUUCAAAUAAAAGCCUAUUCAAUAUAUAAAAAACCUUUAAAGAAGUAAGCAGGGUGACUAACCAGGGCACAAGAGGAAAUAAGAAAAACAAGUACCCAUUUGUAAGCAUUUCCAAUUUUGUAUGUCCAUAUUCUUGUCAAGAAAGCAAUCAUUCAUCAAGUACUUUUAUGUAUGAAUAAUGUUCAAAGAUUAGUUAGGAAGGGAGAUAUCGAUUUUCAUAAUUGAAGAAGGGGCACACAAUGUGAUUCUGAGCUGGUAAUAUCAUAUCAUUCAAUGCCCUUUCCAAACAACUGAAUCCACCAGCCUGUGUCUAGCAUUGCGUAUUUGAUCAGGUAUGAGAAUCAGAUUCAGAUACCAAGAGAGAAACAACAAAUAUGAAUUCUGAUCUUGACCUUAUUGUUUACUUACCUUAGCUACAUGCUACUGAUGCUUGGCAGUUAUUUCUGUAUGCUGUAUCUCGGUAGAGAUUAGCUGUCUGUUAAGAGGACAAAUGAUGCAUCCUAGAAAAAGAAGGGAGAUUUGAGAAGGAAUAGCAGCUAGGCAUAGGAAGGAAAGGACAAAGAGAUCUGGCUUGCCCCGUGACAAAAACUUAAAAUGUAGGUGCUGACAAUAUAGUCAGCAUUCAUAAGAGAUUAUUGAGAAGAUGUGAGUAUAUUACAGACAAGGCUGUUGCUCCCUUAAAAUUUAUGUAAUUAAUGAACUAUUAAAGGCAAUAUGUCAUACAACCUAUACAAUUCUCUUUGCCAACUCUUCUUGGAAGAAUAGUACCCAUUCUGUCCUCCAAUAUCAUGGGAAAUUUUGUAUACUCUACCACAAUGUAUCCCUAUUGGAGUUUUAUCUCUUCAAUUUCUAUGUGUUUCCUUUAUUGGAGUCCAUAUAUUUCAUAGUCUAAGAUUCAACAAUGGGAAAAAUAUCAAAGAUUAAUAAAUUGUGUGUAGGAAUGGUUACUAAUGGUAACAUGGGUGGUAUAAUCCUAUGUCCAAGCAUUUGAACUAUGGAAGAGAAUGUCUUUUGAAAAGUAAAGAGUUUCUACAUAGAAAAUACUGCCAAAAGAUAUUGGCUGAUAAACAGGUAGGGAGAAAUCUGUCUGAGGAUGUGAAAAGGUUUGAAAUAAAGCAGAAGCAGGCCGAUUUUUUGAAACAGUACCACCUUAAAACAGAAUGAAAGAAAGAAAGGAAUGUGGAAAAUUCAUAGCAUAUGUUCUCCCUAAGAUACUCCUAAUAUUAAGUAUCUGUAGAAAUACACUUAGGUGAAACAGCUCCAUAUGAACCAUAAAAAUAAUCUUGUACUUAACCUCAGGGUAGUAAUUUACCCUCUAGUAUAUAUCUGAAAUAUGUUGAUCAAAAGAAUUUAUUUUGUUAACUGUUAGUAUUCCAGUAUUUUAGAAACAAUAGUUAAUUUGUAGAAUGAGUAGGGUUUUUACCAAGUGAUGGUUUUCAAGUAUGUUGAUUUGUAGCUUAAGAUAUAAAUACCUACUUUCCAGAAUGAAUUGAUUAAAAUGUUUACCUUUUAAAAGAUAAAUCAUAAUAUGUGGUUUUAAUUUUGUAUGAUCAUAAUUAAUUAGACAGUUACAUAGAAAGAGCAAAUUUAUACAUUUUACAUAAAUAUAUAUAAGCUGUUGUUUCUUUUAUAUCAAAUAAUAUUUUUACAGUAUGUAUUUUCAAUAGAAAAGCUGCAAAUGAUUGUGGGAAUGGAAACCAUCAAUCAUGGUGCUAUUGUUCACUUGAGAGAGGGGGCCUUUUCCUCUGCUUACUCCUGACUUAGUUUAAUAGUGGUUUUGUUGGUUUCCCACUGCUGAUGUAAAAAAAAAAAAUACUGCAAAUUUAGUUAUAAAAAAUAAGACAAAAAUUUAUUACUUUCCAGUUCUGCAAAUCAGAAGUGCAAAAAUAUAUCUCAGGGGCCUAAAAUCAAGGUAUUGGCAAAGAUGUCUUCUUUCAUGAAAAUUCUAGAAGAGAUUACAUGUCCUUGUCUUCCAGAUUCUUGGGCCAACUAAUUUCCUUGGCUCAUAGGCCUACUAUGAAAGCCAGGGACAUCAGGCCAAGUAUCUUCUGCACUGCCAUCUCUGAUACUUCAGAGAUCCCCUUUGUUUGUAAAGAACCUUUUGAUUACAUCAGGGCCACCUGUCCUAUCUAGACUAACGAUUAAUGACACUAAUGUUCCUUUAUUGUGUAACAUAGCCUGAUUCAUAGGUUUGGAGAUUAAGGACAAAGAAUUCUCUAGGAACCAGUAUACCACAUCAUACAACAGAGCUCAGGGACCCAGAAAAGCUGUUAUGGCUACUGGCUCAAAGGCAAGUGAAUUUGAAUCAGUGAAUAUUUCCUGGGGGCUUCCUGGUAGAAUGUGUUUGAUGAGAGUUCCCAGUACAGUUUUCCCUAAGGCAUAGAAUGAAGUCUACAUCUCUCUCCUAGCCUCGCCUCAGGCAAGGAUGACCAAGAACUAAAUCUUUGGUGAGUGAUAUUAAUGUAUUUGCUACUAAUUAUGAGUUUUAGCUUGUUCCCAUCAGUGAUCCUGUUACAUUUGGAUUAAAAAAAAUGGGAACAAACUGAAAACAGAUCCUAAAAAAAAAGUUCCAUUACUUUAAAUGCACUACAAUAAGUUUACUCUGUAUUGAACAGUAGACUAGACAAAUAGCUUUUUUUUUUAACAAGGGGUCAUCAUCAUAUAGUUAUCUACUGGACUCCGAGCAUAUGCCUCUCACCCCACUGUCCUUCCUGUUAUCAGUACAUAUAUAGUAUUGUGUGACUGUAAAUGCUGGACCCAUGAUUUCUAUAAUGUGAUUCUUGACCCAUUGUGACUGACUUAAUUGCUUCAUGCAAUUAUUUUUAGUUGCAUUAAUUUUCAUGAGUAUGUAAUAAUUUCAUUCACUGUGCCUGAAAACUCUUCCAUCGGGAAGCACAUUCUUUGUGGGAAACCAUGGCAUACUGAGAUCAGACAUGCCAACUGUGGAGCAGGUGCUUUCCCUCCUCAGCAUCCCCAUUGCUUAUGCUCCUGGAAGUAGACAGAAGCACCAUCACAAUAUGAGGAUCCAGCCUCCUUGAUCUGCAUAUAUGUGUCAGAUGUUGCUGGAUGGUCAUCAGAGCCUCUUUUACCAUUCCUCUUUUCACUCUUUAAUUAUCUUUCCCAUUCCUAACAUAGCCUAUAUUCAAUGCUAAUUAGAAUUCACAUUUUUAAAAUUAUAACUUAGCAUGAACAGGUUGUCAGCUUCCAUAAUGUAUAAAUACACUGUGAUUUAAACAAACACUAAAUAUGAGCAAAUUAACCAUCAGAAACUAGUGACAACAACUACAGGAAAUUACUAGACUUUCUUCUGUACACAACAAGCAUUGCUUAGUGUGUGAAUAUUAUCACCGCUAAAAAUUGAUGUUUUCAUUCAUUUUAACAAUAACUGCCACCUACAUGUAUUUUUAUUAUUUAUUUGUCAGGCUUUUAUAAUUGUUAUUUGGAAUCAGUGGGGGGUUUUUGUAUGUGGGAAUGUCUAAUAUAUAUCAAAAGUUUAAACUUAAUUUUACUCUUAGAAGACUUUUAUCACUGCCAUUUAUGAAAAUAGGAAAUGCUAACUAUAUGUGUAAAUUGGCCCAGGCUGAUAGGGAGAUGAUAAGGCCUGUAAGCGGCACACUUCCAUGUUAAGUGGUUAAGACUGACAGUUGCUUGUGCCCUGGCUACUCCAUGCUGUAUUAGCCAUAAUGGGAAAGAUCUGUGGUGACUCAUAACGCUUUUUUAACACUUGCCUCGGGGAUAUUACCUACUUUGAAAGGGCUUUUUAAACUCUUGUUGAAUUCAUAUUGAAAUAAUCCACUUUAUCCAUGUCCUCAAGAUCAUGUUUGUAUAGCAGUAGUUGUUUUAAUAACAUUUCAGGGUUCAGAGUCAUGCAUGGUAGCAGUCAUUUUAAAGCAAAGAAAAGAAAAGGAAAAAGAACAGAAAGAAAAGAAAAUUUCAAGGUUAGAUCUCAAGAUUCUGAAUACUAACUCUCUCUGAGAACAUAAUGUAAUUUCUGGAACCUCUAUUAAACGCCUGACUUAAGUUAGCUGUGCAAAACCCUGUUUCAGCCAGGACUUCUCUCCUAACCAGUCUUCUUGUUCAGUGUUUGGAUUUGAAAUAUCAAUGUCUCAUCAUGUGCCAAGGGUGUGUGUAAAGGUGUGUCAUUGUGCAUAUUAAUCCUGGGUCACUUUAUUAGUGUGCUCUUUGGGCACACUUGGGAGUCAUUGAUUAGCACCACCUUCUAACUUGUAUCCUUAACACAAUCAUCUGAUAUCCUUCCCAGGGAAUGAAUCUCCAGAUCUGAGAUGGAGAGUUUGAAGGAAGUACCAGGUGUCCUACUCUCUUGCCCGCUUCACACCAUUUACGACCUCCCAUUAAUCUGCUUCUUGCUGGCUCUGGGCUCUUGCCUCUCUGGGGCAAUGGCCCUACAUUUUAUGUCCCCAUACCUCUGAUGUACACAUGACUCUUUCCUUUACCCCUAAAUCUAUGGAAAUAAAAAUCUUUCCAGUCUUUUCUCUUUGGCUCAUGGAAAUGAGAGACUUAGGAUGCUCCCCCAUCUUGGGUUUCUGGUUGUCUCUGUCAUAUUUCAAAUACAUGGAAUCACCCGUUCUUUCCUAGAAAGCCUGUAUCGACCUUCUUUGCUAACAUUGCCUUACCUUCUUUCUGUUCAGUGUUUUGUCCUAUGCAAUUUGUAACAUGCUAUAAUUUAUUAAGACCUUAUUGCCAAAUUCUGCUUACUAACAUAACAUCUUAAAAUAUAUUUUAUUAAACAAUUAAAAUUAAAUGUUGGAAUUAAUUGUUUUCUCAGAAAUACCACGAGAAAGAUGGACAGUGCUUUAGACUGUCUCCUCUAUGUCUCCUUUUCAGAGUGUGCAAAAUAUUGAGGAGAAAAAAAGCCCAACUAUAAAAUCAAGGUUUCCAGACCAGACUAUUUCUAUUCAUAGCACUGAAAAUGGGACAUGAUACUAGCUAUUUCAGAAAAAGCCAUGCCAAGGUGAAUAAUUUAUGUGGGAAAAACCUUAAAGGCUUAAUUAUGUAAAUAUUAUUCUACUACUAAGUUUUACAAAAGCACAUUUUUAUCUACUCUUCAUCGCUUAGAUUGGUUCAGAAGUUCAGAACUUUGAUACUAAAAGCAUGCAAAUUUAGUAACAAAGACUUUCAUGUAAAUUCCAUGUUCAAGGUAGAGUUAGUUGCAAGCCCAAAGUUGUGGGUUCUUAUGUCUACAUAUUUUAAAAUAUUAUUUAUAACAUUUUGUUCUCAUAGGUAAUCGGUUUGCAUUUUAGAGAUUUUUUUUUUCAAGUGGUAUAUGUUUAGGCAUUUUUUUUGUGGCCAUAGCAAAUAGUAUUUUUCAAAUCAUAUUUUGUGGUCUGUGUGUGUGAUGUGGUUUGGGCAUGUUUAUUGAGGGACAACAUCAGGUAUUACUCCUUGCCAUCCACUUUGAGAUGGUAUCUUUUAUUGUCAUUACUGGUUACUGUGUACACAAUGUGACCAGGCCUCACAGGCUUUAAGAUCUUCUCCCUUCCCCAAACCCUGACCCAGUCUUGUUGGAAAAACCCAGAGAUUAUAGACAGUCACUACCAUAUCCUCUUGUAUGUGGGUUCUUGAAAUUCAAACUCAGGACCUCAUUUUUGUGUGUCAAGGACCUUACUAACUGAGCAUCUUCCCAUCUCUCUAUCUGUAGUUUUUGAUAGAAUUUCCUUCUAAUGCCCUAACUGCCUUUAAACAAAAGGCUGCUCUUAAAACUAACCAAAACUUUCAUUAACUAUAAAAAUAUAGCAGUGCUCAUGAACACAGAAUCCUAUUGAGAGAAGAAAACUGAGCUCAGAAAUAUGAAGUUGCUUACACAUUCCCAUCAAUACAGAAGCCACAUUGAACAAGUUCAUGAGGUCCUAGGGAGUAAAAUUUUCAACAAGAAUUCUUUUUUUUAAUUUUAAUUUUUAUUUUGUAGAUCAUACCAUUUGGGGUGUAAAAACUCCUCUGAAAUCACAAAUGCAAAUGUUCAAAGUCGAUCCUUGGGAUGUGCUGGUUAUAGAUGAAGAAAUAAUAUAGAUUCCAGUAGCAUAUGGAUCACCAGCUGAUCUAGAAACAUGGCUGUGUGGAGUGUUUAUUGAGUGUAGCAUUGAAACUCAAGUUCAGCCACAGGGUUUGUCUUUACUACCCAGUUGUCAGGAUGACAAAUAUGAACUACUUCACUAUGACUCAAUUUUUUUCUGUACUAUUAUUACACUUCUAAAUGCACAAAAUUGUUAUGAUUCUUUUACUAAUACUUUAUAGCAUAUAAGUAAUACAUUCUUACAUUUCCAUUCUUAAGUCAACAAGCAAAACCAUCUGAAGUUAUUUGGUGCGCUGUGCACACAGAACGGCGUCAUGGAAAAUUGGAGGAACGUACACAUUUCAGAAAAUGUUCACAAAGUUAUACAGAGAUAGACUGGUGUUUUCUCAAUAAGGACAGAUGAAUUCAAGGACAAAUAUAAGAGAUCUUAUGUAAUGCAGAAAAUGCCAACCCUGGAGGAAGGCAAGAUGAUUAUCACGCCUUUGACAGGAGCAGUACCUAUGAAUCACAGAACCUAUUGCCUUGACUCUCAAAACCUCCUUGUCAACCUCCCAGUCUAUGAAGAAAUCCUCUCCUAAUAUGGCUUGCACUUAGCAGUACUAUCAGUCCCAGUUCUGUUACUGCUGCUGCUGAAGACCAAGAAAGCACUGGUCCUGUCUCCGUGACUUAAUUGUCCAAAUGCACAAGUGAAGAAGGGACCACAUUCCUGUACUCUGCUUUAUUGUGGAAUGAGUUGAAUUGUUUUUGUUGAAAUCAUUUUGAAAGUAUCACCUAUGCCCCAUCACAGUCCUUCAUGCUUUAAGAACUGCAUCUGUAGAGUAGAAGAGAUAGCUCAGCAGGUAACCUGCUUGCUGUGUAAAUGUGAGCUGGAGUUUGGAACUCUGGCCCUUACAUAAAAACCCAGGAAAGUGUAGGAGCCAACUGUUUUCUCAGCAAUCAGAAGUGGAGAUGGGUUCCCAGGCAAGCCAGCUAGCUUGACUGAAAAUGAGCAAGUUCUGGGCUAUGAAGGAGACACUGAAAAGUGUCUAGAGAAUGAUCUAGAGGACAUCCUAUAAUCCUAUAUCAGCCAUUGGCUUCAGUGUAUAUAUGCACAUCAACAAAGGUGUGAGAAUGUACAUAAGUAAACACACACACACACACACACCAUAAACAUAAGUGAAAUUGUUCAUAUUUGCACAUCUUAUCUGACUACAUGAUCUUGCUGUCCUAUAUAAUUCUGCAGACUCUCUUACUCAAAAGUGCUACAAAUAUAGAUGAACUUCAGUUGUAAAAUUCGUAUCUAUAAAUGAACUUAAAAACUCAAACCUUCAAAAUUUGCUCUUGAAUAGAGAUUUUGCAACAAAUUUGUAAGUCACUAAGAUGUUGGAGCCCUUCAUUAAACUUUCACAGGACUGCCUGUAGUCAGUUGCAUAGGACGGAUGAUCUGUAGCUGUAUAAGAACAGGGCAGGGUGCAAUCUUCAAAUAACACAGUUUGUGUUCUGUGUUAUUCUCAACUGUCAUCAAUUGUGAAGGACUCUAUUUUUUUCAGUUAUGAUGACAAGAGACUAUUGCUCCACAGUGGAAGCCCCCUAGACAGUAAUGGCAUGCAUUUCUUAUCUGUACAAAGGGUAUUGCCGGCUGCCAAACAUAUUAGAACAGUAAACCAUCGAGGAAGAGACAUUUUCUCUGUCCCGGUUUACUUAAGUGAUUUAUUUGAACUUCAAAUUUUAGUGUCUGAAAUUACUCCUGAUAUUGAAUCUGCUUUUUUUUUUUUUUAAAUUGCUUCAGGUCCCAUGGAGCUCAUUUAGAUUUAGGGCUUAGAUACAGUGGUGAUCUCUGUACAGGUUAAGAGUUCGAAGAGUGAAGGGAAACAUAGAAAGAGCCACAGUGAAAGCAAAGACAUUGGGUUGGAAUUUGAGUAUUGUGUUUUGAAAGAUGAAGCAUCCAGGACCAGGGUGAUUAUAAUAGGAUUUGCUGCCCUUUUCCUUUUUUAGAAUCUACAAACUGUGGAAUUGAGCCACUGUUGUCUGAAAGCUCUGUUCUUUUUUAAAUUUUUGGUUGUUUUAUAAUUAAUAUUCUUACUUAUAUUUUUUACUUUUUAUUUUAUUGUUAUUAUUUCCCGUUUUAGUUUUCCUUCAGGUGGGAAUGCUACAUGGGAAAGGACAGAUAAGGAGAGAAUGGGGAAAUAAUGGGAUUGGGGUGCAUGAUGUGAAAUUUCCAAAUAAUCUAUGAAAAUUAUGUUAAAAAAUUAAAUUCCUGUGUUGUGUGAUUAAGUUUUGAUAGGCUGAGUUUUUCUUUUUAAAUGAGUUUACUACUAUUUGGGAAAAAGGACAUGGGAUGCAGGUCACUCCUUUUGCCUUUUCCUCAGGCUUGACCCCUAACCUUCAUAUUAUAGGAGCCAGUGGAUGCUGUAAGGCUAAAUAGGUAAAUCUCCAAGUCAGUCAUAUACUAUAUGAUUACUUAAGGUUUGUCUGCUGUCUUACCAAGCACUGAGUUAGACUGAUAAGGAAGGCCAGGGAUUUCUGACACUUUGGAGUUUGUUUCUGUAGAACUAGACCCCUUAUUCUUCACCCAUAGCCUACUCCUUUUCUUCCCUUAGCUUUAUAGCAAUCAGCAUGCUGAAGAAACUUUCAUGUGCUUGUGUGCUUGUACACAUGUUUAGCUGCAUGGUGAAUCUCCAGAAAUAGCUGGACCCCUGAAAAAUAGUUCCCAUUAAUCUUGCUUGGCCUGGUGUCAUGCUUAUAAGCACUGUGAUUCCCCACCCACCCCCCACAAAAGGGGAUACUAUAGAAAUCACCUGGGAAGUAAUGUCAGGGCUAUUUGAUCCAGCAAUUGGAGAGAGCCAACACCCAGAAAAAAAUGUAUGGAGAGAGGAAGAUAGACUUUGGAUGAGCAAGCACCUUCUCCUCAUGGAACCUUAACUGUUUGGGAGGGUUGGGGAAAGAGCAAGAGGGGUGCUGCGUCUAGGGUGAGAGCCUGGAUCUAAGUCAGGUACUCUGAGAUACUUUGUAAAGUGUGUUUCCUAGAAUAUGAGAUUGUUCCUAGGAAAUAUAUAAAUGUGUGUGAUGAAGACAAGAGAUGGCAUUGUAGUUUCUGAAAAGGAAAAUGUAUUCCUCAUAGAAUAUUAGAGACAAGAUGAAUGGAAAAGUCUACAAAUAGCCUUAAAGAAAUGACACCCAACUGAGGUGAUGGAUACACCAAAGACUGUGAUUUGAGCAUUGUGUAAUGCAUCCAUGUAUUGCAAUGUUACAUUCUACCCACAAACAUAUACAACCACUAUACUUCAAUUAGACACAUACAUUAUCCUUUUAACAACAUAUGAAGGUGGAAUGAGCCUAUUCUUUCUUACUCAUCCCGAUUAACAUUUCCUAUUAAUGAAGAGAAAUGCAGUCAUAUAAAAAUCCAUCAUUGGUAAAAACACCAAGAACGAAGCUCAAAAUUGCCAUGUCCUUGUCAGGCAUCAUUUUUCCAGCUGCUGGGGUCAUAGGAUGAGGCUGUGAGGCAGGCUGAAAGCAGGUGGCUAUAAUUAGUUCUGGGAAAUAUUAACAUUGUCAUCUCUCUGAGCAGGAGGUUAAGGACAGCACAUCUCCAUUUCUCUUAUUGGCCCUGAAAAGUGGCUUUGGCAUCCUGUCACCAGAUGCCAGCAGAUCCAGUGUGCUGCAGGGUUCCACUGUCAUUGCCGUGGGUGUCAUCUGUAGGAACUGGUACAGUGCACUGCACCAAGGCCUCACCACUGUUCUUGUUAUGGAGUGCAAUCAUCUCUGUCACCUUUAAUGUUGGCCUACAGAUUGACUUUGAACUCCCUCCAUAUUUGAAAAUAAAUUCUUUUCAAAGUC